RNAcentral lists this long non-coding RNA (747 nucleotides) under Chinchilla lanigera (long-tailed chinchilla). RNAcentral describes it as "lncRNA (ENSCLAG00000028072.1)". Lineage: Eukaryota; Metazoa; Chordata; Mammalia; Rodentia; Chinchillidae. The record is from RNAcentral.
GCUGGUAAUGUUAACAAUGUCCAGGUGGGGAAAUGUCACUACUCUUUGUUGAACACCCACUAUGUGCCUACCGCUCCUCCCCUAAAGUGGCUCAGCUGUCAGGUCUGAGCUCCACAUUGCCUGGGAUUGAGGCACAGACAGAUCUGAUUCCCGCUGCUAUAUCCUUCCCCUGAGCCCAGGCUGUGGGUUCUGCUCAUAGAGAAUGCCGAGCUGUACCCUAAGAGCCAGCAAGACCAAGGGUCUUUGGCACCACAAGCAGCCAGCAGCUGGGGAUAGUAACGCAGAACACAGUGAGCAGCAAGGAUGGCAGAGAACAACGGAGAAUCGCCGGAAGCCACCAUCUGGGGGAAGGAUGAUUGAGACCAGAGACAAGAACAGAAGAAAGUCCGUGUGGCACAGCCUGGACCAGGACCCAGACUUCAGGAUCCCAUCUGUACCUCCUGCCAGGGGAUCUCUAGUUCCCUGAACGUCUGUGCCAGUGGGAUGAGGGAUCUGUGCCAACAGGCUGAGGGAUCUGCACUGGAGCCAGGAAGCGAUGCUCAAGAUCCUAGGUCUUCAGCUGGACUUAUGCAGGACACUGUCAUCAGAGCCAGGCCUUCAGCUGGAUUUUUGGGGUCUCCAGUGUGUGAGCAGAUCUCCCAUACUCUUUUUCAUUUGACUCUUUGGGUGACUAUUAUACAAUAACCCAAUAAAUUGUGUGUCCUGUAUGAAAUCGUUUCCCUUGCAAACCCUGACUACAACAGCAGG